UCCAUCGAUUUUCCUUCAAUUUGACGUCACGAUUUUCGUCGACGCAGUUUGACAGUUCUCUUCAGUUGGUCUUGUUUGGACUUGAUCAAAUCAGAGAAACUUUGAACCGAAUCGAACCAGUUUACUUUGUUGAAAAGUUCUUGUGGAUUUUUGCCGGUUGAUUGGAGGAGGAGAACGGGUCACAUCGUUGCUCCGGCAGGCCAUGCCGAAAGACGGAAAGGGAAGCACCCGGUCUGUGAUCGAGGAAGCGGAUUGGUGUUUAACUUUCCGCGGGAGGUGGCGGUGCAUGGUUUUUAUACGGUAACCAAAAAUAUUCCAAUCGAAUCCUGCUGACAACCCAGCGUUUCCGUAUUGUCCCACGGAACGGAAGCUGUAACGAUCGCAAAAACACCUGCACUG
Long non-coding RNA from Culex quinquefasciatus (southern house mosquito), 399 nucleotides. RefSeq lists it as uncharacterized. The record is from RefSeq and is a predicted model, not a curated record. NCBI's taxonomy places the organism in Eukaryota, Metazoa, Arthropoda, Insecta, Diptera, Culicidae. The transcript is spliced from 3 exons.